RNAcentral lists this microRNA precursor (103 nucleotides) under Marmota monax (woodchuck). Lineage: Eukaryota; Metazoa; Chordata; Mammalia; Rodentia; Sciuridae. The record is from RNAcentral.
AGUGGGAGAGCUGGGUCAUAUGGUGGUUCCAUUCCUAGUCUUUAGAGGAAUCUCCAUACUGCUUUCCAAAGUGGUUGUACUAAUUUGCAGUCCCACCAACAAU